Molecule: transfer RNA, 73 nt
Filed under: Cimex lectularius (bed bug)
Lineage: Eukaryota; Metazoa; Arthropoda; Insecta; Hemiptera; Cimicidae
Description: tRNA-His
Rfam family: tRNA
About the family: Transfer RNA (tRNA) molecules are approximately 80 nucleotides in length. Their secondary structure includes four short double-helical elements and three loops (D, anti-codon, and T loops).
Source: Rfam by way of RNAcentral
GUCACGAUAGCUCAAGUGGUAGAGCAGUGGCGUAUGUAGCCGAAGGUCGUGGGUUCGAAUCCCACUUGUGACA